GAUGAACGCUGGCGGCGUGCCUAAUACAUGCAAGUCGAGCGAACGGACGAGAAGCUUGCUUCUCUGAUGUUAGCGGCGGACGGGUGAGUAACACGUGGAUAACCUACCUAUAAGACUGGGAUAACUUCGGGAAACCGGAGCUAAUACCGGAUAAUAUUUUGAACCGCAUGGUUCAAAAGUGAAAGACGGUCUUGCUGUCACUUAUAGAUGGAUCCGCGCUGCAUUAGCUAGUUGGUAAGGUAACGGCUUACCAAGGCAACGAUGCAUAGCCGACCUGAGAGGGUGAUCGGCCACACUAGAACGGAGACACGGACCAGACUCCUACGGGAGGCAGCAGUAGGGAAUCUUCCGCAGUGGGCGAAAGCCUGACGGAGCAACGCCGCGUGAGUGAUGAAGGUCUUCGGAUCGUAAAACUCUGUUAUUAGGGAAGAACAUAUGUGUAAGUAACUGUGCACAUCUUGACGGUACCUAAUCAGAAAGCCACGGCUAACUACGUG
This 497-nucleotide ribosomal RNA is filed under the name uncultured bacterium. RNAcentral describes it as "partial 16S ribosomal RNA". It matches the Rfam family "Bacterial small subunit ribosomal RNA", at positions 28 to 507 of the family's 1533-position model. The record is from RNAcentral.